UGUGAAGCCGGGCCGUGAGGCAUCCGGUGGAGUGAUCGGAAGCGAGAAUGUUGACAUGAGUAGCGACAAACAGGGUGAGAGACCCUGUCGCCGAAAGUCCAAGGGUUCCUGCUUAAAGCUAAUCUGAGCAGGGUAAGCCGGCCCCUAAGGCGAGGCCGAAAGGCGUAGUCGAUGGGAACCAGGUUAAUAUUCCUGGGCCAGGAGAUGGUGACGGAUCCCGACGGUAGUUCAUCCUUAUCGGAUUGAAUGGGCUGCUUAGGGGUUCCUGGAAAUAGCCCUCCAUGAGACCGUACCCUAAACCGACACAGGUGGACUGGUAGAGAAUACCAAGGCGCUUGAGAGAACCACAUUUAAGGAACUCGGCAAAAUACCUCCGUAAGUUCGCGAGAAGGAGGCCCGGUUUUUGCGCAAGCAGAGGCCGGGGGCACAAACCAGGGGGUGGCGACUGUUUACUAAAAACACAGGGCUCUGCGAAGUCGUAAGACGACGUAUAGGGUCUGACGCCUGCCCGGUGCCGGAAGGUUAAGAGGAGAGGUGCAAGCCUUGAAUCGAAGCCCCGGUAAACGGCGGCCGUAACAAUAACGGUCCUAAGGUAGCGAAAUUCCUUGUCGGGUAAGUUCCGACCUGCACGAAUGGCGUAACGACUUCCCCGCUGUCUCAAAUGUGGACUCAGCGAAAUUGAACUGUCUGUCAAGAUGCAGACUUCCCGCGGUUAGACGGAAAGACCCCAUGAACCUUUACUCCAGCUUCGCACUGGCAUCAGGAUUGCGAUGUGCAGGAUAGGUGGUAGGCUUUGAAAUCGGGACGCCAGUUCCGGUGGAGCCACCCUUGAGAUACCACCCUUCGCACUCUUGAUGUCUAACCGCGGCCCGUUAUCCGGGUCCGGGACCAUGCGUGGCGGGGAGUUUGACUGGGGCGGUCGCCUCCUAAAAAGUAACGGAGGCGUGCGAAGGUAAGCUAGAGCUGGUCGGAAAUCAGCUUGAUAGUAUAAUGGCAUAAGCUUGCCUGACUGCGAGGCUGACAAGCCAAGCAGAGACGAAAGUCGGUCAUAGUGAUCCGGUGAUUCUGUAUGGAAGGGUCAUCGCUCAACGGAUAAAAGGUACUCUGGGGAUAACAGGCUGAUGAUGCCCAAGAGUCCAUAUCGACGGCAUCGUUUGGCACCUCGAUGUCGGCUCAUCUCAUCCUGGGGCUGAAGCAGGUCCCAAGGGUAUGGCUGUUCGCCAUUUAAAGAGGUACGUGAGCUGGGUUUAGAACGUCGUGAGACAGUUCGGUCCCUAUCUGCCGUGGGUGUAGGAGAUUUGAGAAGAGUUGCCCCUAGUACGAGAGGACCGGGGUGGACGUUCCACUGGUGGACCAGUUGUCGUGCCAACGGCAGUGCUGGGUAGCUAUGAACGGACAGGAUAAACGCUGAAGGCAUCUAAGCGUGAAGCCCCCCUCAAAACAAGGUCUCCCUUGAGAGCCGUGGAAGACCACCACGUCGAUAGGCCGGAGAUGUAAGUGCAGCAAUGCAUUCAGUUGACCGGUACUAAUGGCUCGAUAG
Molecule: ribosomal RNA, 1540 nt
Filed under: Rhagoletis pomonella (apple maggot)
Lineage: Eukaryota; Metazoa; Arthropoda; Insecta; Diptera; Tephritidae
Description: bacterial LSU rRNA
Rfam family: Bacterial large subunit ribosomal RNA
Source: RNAcentral